RNAcentral lists this transfer RNA (776 nucleotides) under uncultured cyanobacterium. Its description in RNAcentral is "partial contains 16S ribosomal RNA, 16S-23S ribosomal RNA intergenic spacer, and 23S ribosomal RNA". The stretch from base 269 to 341 matches the Rfam family "tRNA". The record is from RNAcentral. Lineage: Bacteria; Bacillati; Cyanobacteriota.
CAGGGAGACAAACAACGAUUUUGAUGCCUGAGUGCUUUUAUUCUUAGGCCGAAAUCCUGUCACCUUAGGUCGAUCGGUACCUCAGCUUUGAAGCCAUCAAACUUGUAGUAAUGCAAGUGAGGAUGGUGGAGAUUCUUAGUUCCUAAACUUUGUCUAGGUCACACCCCAAAAGGGAUGAGACUCCUGGGCCAUUAGCUCAGGUGGUUAGAGCGCACCCCUGAUAAGGGUGAGGUCCCUGGUUCAAGUCCAGGAUGGCCCAUUCGGUGUUGGGGGUUUAGCUCAGUUGGUAGAGCGCCUGCUUUGCAAGCAGGAUGUCAGGAGUUCGAGUCUCCUAACCUCCACUGACCGAACUUGAUUCCCAUCUCCAAUUUUUUUGGAGUUGAGCUCGAUUGGAGUGUGAUUUAGAUGUGUCCGCUGGAUGACCCCAGCUUCCUGUCAUUCCAAGUUUUAGGUUAAAGCCUUGAAUUUGGUUGAUAAGAUGCUGGGCUCGGAUCAAAUGAUCAAGCAAUUGAUGAUUUGAUUUGAAGUUCUAGCAGAACCUUGACAACUGCAUAGGUGAGUCUGGAAAAAACAAAGCAUCUUACAGAUGCAUUGUUUUGAAUCUGAUCUUCUGAAAGGGAGAUUGGAUCUAGAACAAUGAAAAUUCUUUUGAGCAAGAGCCGAGACUCUUGAGCGUUCUUUGAUUGGUGUCGAGCCAAUCAGAGUUUGAUCUUGUUUUUAGCAAUAAAAACUUGAGAAUCUGCUUUCAACGGUGGUAAGCGUUCAAGAGAUUAAUU